Molecule: RNA transcript, 2905 nt
Organism: Mus musculus (house mouse)
Lineage: Eukaryota; Metazoa; Chordata; Mammalia; Rodentia; Muridae
Gene: Stk16
Gene name: serine/threonine kinase 16
Exons: 8
Source: RefSeq, marked validated
GAUGAUGUCAUCCGGGCUUCCGGUCCCUGGCCCUUCGCACAGGCCGGAGACCGGUCGGUGUGGAGUUUGUAGUGGCAGACCCUGUGCUCGUUCCCGAGCGACGGAGGGUGGACUCGGCCAGAGGUGGGCUCGAGCCCCGCACCUCCUGCGCCGCCACCCCAUGCCUGACGGGUGCGAGAGCUGGACCUGGCCGAAGGUGGGCCGGGGUUGAAAGAAGCGGCCUGCAUGACCCGCCGGGACCCCACCGCAUCGCCUGGAAGAGCCCACUCUCCCUGGAAGGAAGACCAUCCCUGAAGAGGAUGACUGAGACGUUAUGGGCCACGCACUGUGUGUCUGCUCCCGGGGAACUGUCAUCAUUGACAAUAAGCGUUACCUCUUCGUCCAGAAAUUGGGGGAAGGUGGAUUCAGCUAUGUGGACCUAGUGGAGGGCUUGCAUGAUGGACACUUCUACGCCCUGAAGCGGAUCCUGUGCCAUGAGCAGCAAGACCAGGAAGAAGCCCAACGAGAGGCAGAGAUGCAUCGCCUCUUCCAGCAUCCCAACAUCCUUCGCCUCAUGGCUUACUCUCUGAAAGAACGAGGUGCUAAGCAUGAAGCCUGGCUGCUGCUGCCCUUCUUCAAGAAAGGUACACUGUGGAAUGAGAUAGAAAGGCUGAAGGACCAAGGCAGCUUCCUGACUGAAGACCAGAUCCUGCCGCUGUUGCUGGGUAUCAGCAGAGGCCUUGAGGCUAUUCAUGCCAAAGGUUAUGCACACAGGGACCUGAAGCCCACCAAUAUUUUGCUUGGUGAUGAGGGGCAGCCAGUUUUAAUGGACUUGGGUUCUAUGAAUCAAGCAUGCAUUCAAGUGGAGGGCUCUCGCCAGGCACUAGCUCUUCAGCUCUGGGGACACUGUUCCAGGACUGGGCAGCUCAGCGGUGCACCAUCUCCUACCGGGCACCUGAACUUUUUUCUGUGCAAAGCCACUGUGUCAUCGAUGAGCGGACUGAUGUCUGGUCCCUAGGCUGUGUGCUUUAUGCCAUGAUGUUUGGGGAAGGCCCUUACGAUAUGGUGUUCCAGAAGGGUGACAGUGUGGCCCUUGCUGUGCAGAAUGAACUCAGCAUCCCACAAAGCCCCAGGCAUUCUUCAGCAUUGCGACAGCUAUUGUCUUCUAUGAUGACUGUGGACCCCCAGCAGAGGCCUCACAUCCCUGUCCUCCUCAGUCAGUUGGAGGCAUUGCAGCCACCAGCUCCUGGCCAGCACACCACCCAAAUCUGAUCAAAUCAGUGGACAUAUUGGGAAGAUGACCUUGAAGUGGCUUUCAUCCCUCAUUGGAACUCCUUCCAUUCUUCCAGGAUGGCUCUCACAGCUAGUGGCAAGGAUAGUGGGUCCUUGUAUAUUCUGCCUUCUUACCCCAAUACCUGGGCAAGGAACCUAGGGUGAGUUGGGGGAAAAUGAAACAGAAAAUAUGGCUCAAAGCUAGGCUGCUGGGUGCACAUCUCAUUCUGUCUCCAGAUCUGGGAGCAGGAGAAUACAUAAAAAGGAGAAUAAAGUAAAAACAGACCGUGUAUAUUUUAGGUCAAUGUGUCUGGAGGGAAAGAAUGAACUCUCUGCUUGCUAUUUCCAAGGGAAGCUCCUGGCAAGAAGUACUGGUAUGAUGUCUUGAGGUAGAUCUACUUCUUGAGUUCUGGCAGCAGGCAGGUCUUUUAAGCUGGCUUAGUCAAAACCAGAGAGCUUCAAGCUUGAGCUGGUUUCUGUCUGUGCCAAGAAGUGGGACCAGGGUCUCCUUGAAAGCACACUCAACCAGUUCUGUCAUUCAUUCCCAGGGUGGGUAGCUUAGAACAGCCCAGCUCCGCAGGUUUGCCAAGUCCAUGUGACCUCUGGGUGGAAGCACACCGGGUCUUUUCCCUUCUUCAGCAGAGGACAAAGGGAGUGGAGCUGGCAGCCAUUUUUUUCCAGUUUCCCUGACUAUUCUAGCUCACACAUGGUUAAUAAUUGAUGAGGCUGGUGGCCUGUGGCAGUACCCAGCAGCCACUUCCUGCCCUAUUUGCUGAGUAAACAGGCACCUGCCUUAGUUGGGUUUCAAACUUUCCUCAGGGAAGGGCACUGCUUCCCUGAGUCACCAGGGAGGGGAGACAAGGGCAGGGAUGGUGCUCCUGUUCUGGAGAUUCCACCCCUACAUGCUGACGUCAACAUGAGUCCUAGGGUGCCUAUUAGUGAAGUAUAAUUUAUCCCUAGGGUCCAGGCAGGAGGCUUCCACCCCGAGCAGAGGCUGAAGCCAAAAGAAAGCACAAACAGAGGGGAGACGACCUGACUUUUAAUAGCAUGGCUCCAGCCCCAGAAAGCAAGAUAGACAGCAAGCUAUGCAAAGCUGCCAGAGGUGCUGUGGCACAAACAACUAGAUUGCCCUUGUUCCUGCCCAUCCCCCAAGUUUGUGAGGUGGCUGUAUGCCCGGGAACUUUGGGCCCGCCCAGCCCCCAUUCCCAAAUCCUCAGUGUUCAAUGACGCCUGGGCCAAGCCUUCUAGAGCUGUUGAGUGAAGCAGCAGCAAGAAGAAUAAAGUAGUCCAAUCAUCCAACACAGACUAUCAGAUAUUUCAGAAAGUGAAGACUUGUAUCUUGCAAUAGCUUGUAGCUAGACAGACAGGUCCAGGGUUUGGUCCUUGUUUCUUUCCUAUUCUGCGAGUCCUUAGGACCUUACAUUGAAGUCCUUGGGUUCCUGCUUUCUGGGGCUCAAUAUGGGGCCCCCUUGGCAAGUCUCACUGUCAGCCAUGUGAAGGUAAAAUUAAAAGGUCACAAGCGGCCAAUAGCGGGAGGUAGCAGCCAAAGCAGAAAGGGGGACAAGCAGAGGCUCAAGCAGUUACAAAGGGGACAAGAAACCAUGCAAGGAGACUGUUUAUUUCGAAAGGAUUUUGCAAUAAACACAGUGAACAG